RNAcentral lists this long non-coding RNA (325 nucleotides) under Musa acuminata (dwarf banana). Its description in RNAcentral is "long non-coding RNA (MACU_LNC010116)". The record is from RNAcentral. Lineage: Eukaryota; Viridiplantae; Streptophyta; Magnoliopsida; Zingiberales; Musaceae.
UUCAAUCAGUUCUCUUAUAUAAGAUAGCAGAAAUAGGAGUUCUCGUUUCAAGUAAGAAUGAAGUGAUAGGUAUAGAUAGAAGACAGAGUUCAAAGAGUAAGCCCGAAGUCAGGAGUCAGGAGUCAGCCCAGAAUAAGAAGUAAGCCCAGAAGAAGGUGAGUAAUCUUAUCUUAUUGGCUUUGAUGCGAGGCUUUGAUGCGCUAAGUUAAUCCCCAGCCCAGUGGAACUGUGUGUUGUCGAUUAAGAAAGGGGAGUUUUGUAGGAUAGGAUUGAAGCCAGAUCAGAGGAGAGGCUUUGAAGCAGUAGAAGUCAAGUCGACAUCCAC